RNAcentral lists this long non-coding RNA (861 nucleotides) under Scleropages formosus (Asian bonytongue). Its description in RNAcentral is "lncRNA (ENSSFOG00015032301.1)". The record is from RNAcentral. Lineage: Eukaryota; Metazoa; Chordata; Actinopteri; Osteoglossiformes; Osteoglossidae.
UUUCAGCCUCUGCGCGCACUCAGCGGGGUGUCCGUGUGCUUCCAGGUCCAGGACCGACACUUCCGCUGCAGGGGGGGCCGGGCUUCGGCGCAGGGCGGUUUCCCAGCGGCCCGUUCAGGGGUGUCCCGUUCCGGGGGCGACCCAGCAAAGCAGGUCGCUAUCCUGGUGCCCAGUUUGGAAUGGGUGCUGGCCUGGGGCCCGGUUUGGGGACCGCGCUCGGGAACGGACUCGGUGUUGGCCAGCUGCUGGGAAAGCAGCGCGGAGGUGAGCGAUGGCGCGACGGGCGGCUGCGGAGGCACCGCCUCCCGCCAGGGCGGGUGGAAGUUCACUCGGCCUUUAACUGUGUGUUCGCAGGGUACGGCGCUAAAGGCUUCGGCUACGGCGGGCAGCCUCUCGGAGGUCAGUGCGCUCGCGUCCUCCUUAGUUCUAGCACUUUCUUCAGAAGGCAGCCGUCUCAAAGAUGAGCGCUUCUCGUUGUUGGCGCACGUGGUGAUUUUGGCGACGGCCGGGUCGCUGCGGCGGCGCACUUCCCUGCUUUCGAUUCCAUGUGGAAAGGAUGGAAUCUUGUUACCUUCCUCACACAUCUGUAUUGCCAUGUCCAUCUGCACACCUUCAUUUCGCCCUGUUGUCAGGUUUCAGGCCGGGGGUUGGUGCGUAUCCCCCCGCGGGGCUGGGUCCCGGAGCAGGAGCAGGCCGUGCCGCUGGAGUCGCGCCGCAGAACGGCCAGGGGGCCAAAGCCACCAAAGCGGGUUACGGCCCCUGGACCGGAGGGUACCCGGGCGCGGGAUGGGCCAACGGUUAUGGACCAGGUGUGGGACCAGGCGGAUUCUUCGACAGCGGAAAGGCCAGAGCAGGCGGUGA